Molecule: ribosomal RNA, 253 nt
Filed under: uncultured bacterium
Lineage: Bacteria
Description: partial 16S ribosomal RNA
Rfam family: Bacterial small subunit ribosomal RNA
Source: RNAcentral
UACGGAGGGGGCAAGCGUUAUAAGGAAUCACUGGGUUUAAAGGGUGCGUAGGCGGUUAGAUAAGUCAGAGGUGAAAGUUUGUCGCUUAACGAUAGAACUGCCUUUGAUACUGUUAAGCUUGAAAGUAGGUGAGGUUGGCGGAAUGUGACAUGUAGCGGUGAAAUGCAUAGAUAUGUCAUAGAACACCGAUUGCGAAGGCACCCGGCUAACCUGACUUUGACGCUGAGGCACGAAGGCCUGGGUAGCGAACAGG